GCAUUUUUAGGAUAGAGCUAGAGCCUUUCUUUUCUAGUUGACGGUUUUCUCCUAAGUCUAAAAGGAGAUUGAGAGGCGUAAUUUCAACAAGCCGUUGCUGUUUGCUGGGUAAGUUCUACCGCGCCAUUUUCCUAGUCACGAAAGUGGUACUGAUUGUGAAGAAAACGAGAGGUCAAGAGCUAUUUGGGUUUAAGUAAAGAUAGUCA
Molecule: unclassified non-coding RNA, 206 nt
Filed under: Hevea brasiliensis (rubber tree)
Lineage: Eukaryota; Viridiplantae; Streptophyta; Magnoliopsida; Malpighiales; Euphorbiaceae
Source: RNAcentral